GGGCCCGCACAAGCGGUGGAGCAUGUGGUUUAAUUCGAUGAUACGCGAGGAACCUUACCAGGGCUUAAAUGUGGUUUGACAGCUUUAGAGAUAGAGUUUUCUUCGGACAAAUCACAAGGUGCUGCAUGGUUGUCGUCAGCUCGUGCCGUGAGGUGUCAGGUUAAGUCCUAUAACGAGCGCAACCCCUGUUGUUAGUUGCCAGCGAGUAAUGUCGGGAACUCUAGCAAGACUGCCGGUGCAAACCGUGAGGAAGGUGGGGAUGACGUCAAAUCAUCACGGCCCUUACGUCCUGGGCUACACACGUGCUACAAUGGUAGGGACAGAGAGCAGCCACUUCGUGAGAAGGAGCGAAUCUCAAAAAGCCUAAUCGUAGUCCAGAUUGGAGUCUGCAACUCGACUCCAUGAAGUAGGAAUCGCUAGUAUCG
This 425-nucleotide ribosomal RNA is filed under the name uncultured bacterium. RNAcentral describes it as "bacterial SSU rRNA". It matches the Rfam family "Bacterial small subunit ribosomal RNA", at positions 917 to 1343 of the family's 1533-position model. The record is from RNAcentral.